UCAUCUCUGGUAUCCAUGGUGGUAAGAAGUGUAACGUUGGUUAGAGGUUAAGUUUGUUUGUGUUCAUCAUACGUAAUUACAAAAGUAACAUUAAUUAUCGUAAAAUGCCGUAUUAUUAUGACAUGUUAUCGUCUUCCGAUGAUGAAGACAUUAUAGAUUUUAUUAAUAGAAGACUGAAAAAAUUUAAAACUCGCCAUAAUUACUUUGAAGAAUUGGAUGAUAUAGAAUUCAAAAUAAGAUUUCGAAUGGGCAAACAAUCAGUGAUGUGGCUAUGCAAUGAAAUAGAGGAAGAUUUAAAGUUUCCUUCAAAUAAAAAUUGGCCACUGUCACCACUGAAUCAGUUGUUGCUCACUUUACGAUUAUUCGCAACAAGAUCCCAUUAUAUGCCUGUAGCAGAUUUUUCUGAUGUAAGCACAAUUUCUGCACAUCGCAUUGCUUCUCAUGUAACGAAUGUAGUUGCCAGAUGAUUACGACCACAUUUCGUGAAGUUCCCUUCAACAAAUGAGAAAAUUCGUCAGCAGCAAGAACAGUUUUACAGAAUAGCAAGGUUCCCAAAAGUCAUUGGUUGCAUAGACUGCAUACAUGUCCGCGUACAAUCCUUCAGAAAAUGGAGAAGAAACAGAACUUUUUCGAAAUAGAAAGUGUUACUUCUCAAUUAACGUUCAAGUAGUUUCAAACGCCAACAUGGAAAUAACUGAUAUCGUCGCUCGUUGGCAAGAAUUCGUACACGACAGCACAAUUUUCAAUAACAGCCGUUUCUGCGCAACAUUUGAGCAGGGUCAUUGUGGAGAUGCCAUUUUGCUAGGUGAUAAUGGUUAUCCUCUAAAACCAUAUUUAUUGACACCUCUUUUAAAUCCACAAGAUGCAGCAGAACAAUGGUAUAAUGAAUCACACAUACGCACAAGGAACACAGUUGAACGUUUAUUUGGAAUUUGGAAGAGAAGAUUCCCUACUCUGGUGCUAGGUAUACGAUAUUCAAUGGAACGAACUAUGAAGACAAUUGUAGCAACAGCAGUGUUGCACAAUAUUGCCUGUCACAUAGCAGAUCCUCUGCCAGCAAACGAUCCAAAUUAUUAAUCUACCUGCAGAUUGGGAUAAUUUGAUAGAAUAUGGAAACAUUCCUCCACUAAAUGUACCUCAAAAUGAGCAUGCACAAAAUGCAUUUGUUCGGAGUAACCUUAUACAUAAUUUCUUUCAAAGGACAAUUGGGAUAUGCUUACCUGUUCUAAGAUGUAUCUGUCUGGAGGCGGAUUUAGACAUUAUAGGGUUAAAAUUGAAGUAUUACCUGUAUAAAAAUUCCAUUUAUUUUCUUAAAUAAUAUUCGAUUCCAGUACAAAAAAGUGUUCAGUGUGUUAACAUAGAUAUUUCAGUAAUAGUGACGACAUAGUUUUCUUAAAAUUACAAAUUGUAUUUAUUCCAAUGAUAUAAUAAUAUUUGCUUCUUCACAGGUUGUAAAAGCCCGGAAUCAAGUCGACACUUCAUAAUUCGAAUUAUAAGUAAUAGAAGGAAUUCAAGGACAUUCACCAGAAGAUUGAAUUGUGCAUAAAAUUGAUUUUGGAAAUUAUUGUUUUGUAAAAAUUUGAGAACCUAUGAUUUAUAAUAAGUAACAAAUAUUGAGAAAGGUUUUAAUGAAUAAAGCAGUGACGAUUUGUGUAAUUUUA
RNA transcript from Cephus cinctus (wheat stem sawfly), 1661 nucleotides. It is a transcript of the gene named putative nuclease HARBI1, with no coding region annotated. NCBI's taxonomy places the organism in Eukaryota, Metazoa, Arthropoda, Insecta, Hymenoptera, Cephidae. The record is from RefSeq and is a predicted model, not a curated record. The transcript is spliced from 4 exons.